RNAcentral lists this long non-coding RNA (564 nucleotides) under Salmo trutta (river trout). RNAcentral describes it as "lncRNA (ENSSTUG00000028386.1)". Lineage: Eukaryota; Metazoa; Chordata; Actinopteri; Salmoniformes; Salmonidae. The record is from RNAcentral.
GUUGCCUUCUAUUGUUACAACAUGGAAGUGCUACCACAGGUCUGAUUUGAAUACAGUCUAAUAUGUACUUUUCCAUUUUAGUACCAUAAGAGACACGAGAGAGAUCUACUAGACCAGAAGAAGGAGAAGGAAGAGACACUACUGCUGGAGAUGGAACAGCUAGAGCGACAGCAGAGCGAAGCCAAGCUCACCAGUGAAAAACACACCGAAAAGAAACGGAGGGACAGUAAGACAGGGUUGUCAGGGACCAAGGGCCUGUCUGGAUCCACGUCCGGGGCCACUUUGUCCACCUCCUCCGGUAAAGAGUUGAGGAAGGCCAAACUGGCACGGAGUCGGUCGCUUAGCAGCCACCCUACUACACCCAAGAUGGCUAAUCCAGACAAAACUCUAAAGGUCAAGGAUUCAGGAAGCUGUCCUGGAAAAGGGAAGAACUUGCUUCCUAUGAAUGACAAAGGAAGUCCAACUCUUUCGGUAUGCAGUCGGGGAGGGAGUAAAGCUGGCUAUAUGGGGGCGAUGACAGACCCCUUAGUCCCCGGCGAUGACCUUGAGGUCAAGGCAUUGUGA